Long non-coding RNA from Danio rerio (zebrafish), 587 nucleotides. RefSeq lists it as uncharacterized. The record is from RefSeq and is marked validated. Lineage: Eukaryota; Metazoa; Chordata; Actinopteri; Cypriniformes; Danionidae.
GUUUCAGAUUAAUUUUGUGACCGUGCACCUCAAGCGACAGCAUAUGACAUGAGAGAACGAAAAAAACCAUAAGUUAAGCUAAAAACACCUGAACAGCUCAUCAAAACAAGUCACCUAUAGACAUCUACAUUAACCUGAGACUAACCCCGUCAUUAUGGUCAACUCCACUCUGCAUCUGCCGACGUAUGCGCCGAGCCACUGGGCAAACUGGUAACAUCGGAAAAGCCGUCCACAUGGAGCGAUUCACUGCAAAAUCAAUCAAUGGAGCCACAGGAGGAGCUCUGCUGACACUCCAGACACACUGACGGCGAGAAAACAUUCACACACCAUGACAAAUGCAGGAUUUUACUGAAAAAACAGCAGCUGACACGGGGAAAACAGUGUUUUUAUUACGCGUCAUCAGUCAGCCAUAUUGGAGAGCAGAAUGUAAACAAUAACUCUGAGCGAAACAUGCAUAUAUUGCUGAUUAUUAGCGGUGAAGAUGAUCAGUUAUUAGCUGUGUUUCCGUCUGAAGAUGUGCAUUAUAUUUAUGUGCAAGCUGGAAUUUUGCAUUAAGCAUUUGUGAAUAAAGCAACGCUUACAUCCAA